Molecule: ribosomal RNA, 467 nt
Filed under: uncultured bacterium
Lineage: Bacteria
Description: bacterial SSU rRNA
Rfam family: Bacterial small subunit ribosomal RNA
Source: RNAcentral
ACGAACGCUGGCGGCGUGGAUUAGGCAUGCAAGUCGAACGGUGGCUUAGCUUUUCGAGUCAUAGUGGCGAAAGGGUGAGUAACACGUGGGAUAUCUGCCCUCGAGUUCGGGAUAACCAGUCGAAAGAUUGGCUAAUACCGGAUACGUUUAUGUGCUUUCGAGUACAUAAAGAAAGAUAGGGACUGGGCGCAAGCUCGGCCUGUCACUCCUGGAUGAGCCCGCGGCCUAUCAGCUAGUUGGUGAGGUAAUGGCUCACCAAGGCUAAGACGGGUAGCUGGUCUGAGAGGAUGGUCAGCCACACUGGAACUGAGACACUGUCCAGACAUCUACGGAUGGCUGCAGUCGAGAAUCUUUCGCAAUGGGGGAAACCCUGACGAAGCGACGCCGCGUGCAGGAUGAAGGUCUUCGGAUUGUAAACUGCUGUCGGCUGGGAGAAAUGCUUCUUAUUAAUAAUAAGAAGUUUUGAC